GUGGGGAAUUUUGGACAAUGGGCGCAAGCCUGAUCCAGCAAUGCCGCGUGCAGGAAGAAGGCCUUCGGGUUGUAAACUGCUUUUGUACGGAACGAAACGGUCCUGGUUAAUACCUGGGGCUAAUGACGGUACCGUAAGAAUAAGCACCGGCUAACUACGUGCCAGCAGCCGCGGUAAUACGUAGGGUGCAAGCGUUAAUCGGAAUUACUGGGCGUAAAGCGUGCGCAGGCGGUUUUGUAAGACAGGCGUGAAAUCCCCGGGCUCAACCUGGGAAUGGCGCUUGUGACUGCAAGGCUGGAGUGCGGCAGAGGGGGAUGGAAUUCCGCGUGUAGCAGUGAAAUGCGUAGAUAUGCGGAGGAACACCGAUGGCGAAGGCAAUCCCCUGGGCCUGCACUGACGCUCAUGCACGAAAGCGUGGGGAGCAAACAGGAUUAGAAACCCCAGUAGUCC
This 450-nucleotide ribosomal RNA is filed under the name uncultured bacterium. RNAcentral describes it as "bacterial SSU rRNA". It matches the Rfam family "Bacterial small subunit ribosomal RNA", at positions 354 to 796 of the family's 1533-position model. The record is from RNAcentral.